UACGGGGGGUGCGAGCGUUGUCCGGAAUCACUGGGCGUAAAGGGCGCGUAGGUGGUUUGAUAAGGGUGUGGUGAAAGCCCGGGGCUCAACCCCGGGUCUGCCGUGCCGACUGUCAAACUCGAGGGCUGUAGAGGCAGACGGAAUUCCGGGUGUAGCGGUGGAAUGCGUAGAGACCCGGAGGAAGACCGGUGGCGAAGGCGGUCUGCUGGGCAGUUUCUGACACUGAGGCGCGACAGCGUGGGGAGCAAACAGG
RNAcentral lists this ribosomal RNA (253 nucleotides) under uncultured bacterium. RNAcentral's name for it is "partial 16S ribosomal RNA". It matches the Rfam family "Bacterial small subunit ribosomal RNA", at positions 524 to 776 of the family's 1533-position model. The record is from RNAcentral.